CCUACGGGAGGCUGCAGUGGGGAAUAUUGCACAAUGGGCGCAAGCCUGAUGCAGCCAUGCCGCGUGUGUGAAGAAGGCCUUCGGGUUGUAAAGCACUUUCAGCGGGGAGGAAGGCGUUAAGGUUAAUAACCUUGGCGAUUGACGUUACCCGCAGAAGAAGCACCGGCUAACUCCGUGCCAGCAGCCGCGGUAAUACGGAGGGUGCAAGCGUUAAUCGGAAUUACUGGGCGUAAAGCGCACGCAGGCGGUCUGUCAAGUCGGAUGUGAAAUCCCCGGGCUCAACCUGGGAACUGCAUUCGAAACUGGCAGGCUAGAGUCUUGUAGAGGGGGGUAGAAUUCCAGGUGUAGCGGUGAAAUGGGUAGAGAUCUGGAGGAAUACCGGUGGCGAAGGCGGCCACCUGGACAAAGACUGACGCUCAGGUGCGAAAGCGUGGGGAGCAAACAGGAUUAGAUACCCUUGUAGUC
RNAcentral lists this ribosomal RNA (465 nucleotides) under uncultured Klebsiella sp. RNAcentral's name for it is "bacterial SSU rRNA". It matches the Rfam family "Bacterial small subunit ribosomal RNA", at positions 338 to 795 of the family's 1533-position model. Lineage: Bacteria; Pseudomonadati; Pseudomonadota; Gammaproteobacteria; Enterobacterales; Enterobacteriaceae. The record is from RNAcentral.